AUGGAGAAGAGGAAGCAGGAUGAAGGAAGGGACGAAUCGAGCUCCUUCGAUGCCAAGCGGUGUAGGUCUUGCCACUGCCAGAACGGGGAGACGAGCAGGCCAAAUGAUGGGAUGCCGCCUCGGGAGGGGUUUUCAGAUAUCGUCCGUGCGGUAAUCGAACUGAAAGACGUCAUGCAGCUUCACCUGCGCACUGAGGAAAACUUCAGAAGGAAAAUUCAAAAGCUUAAGGAAAAUAGGAAAAAGGACAAGAUCAAGCACGCGGAAGAUCUCAGAGUACUCAAGGAAGACCUCAUCAGAAUAUUCAAGGAAGAUCACGAAGUGCUCAAAUCAAAAAUCCAAGAAAUGCAAAAAGAAGCGUGUACUGAAGUAAAUCAUUACAAGGCAUCUCCAUCUGAGAGGGGAAUUCCAUUCCUGGAUGGGAAACAUUUGUUGAAGAUACAAGUCAUUCAAAUGUCCGGCCACCAGUUGAAGAGCAUUAUGCGUCAUUUGGAUAUGGUCGAGUGCUACUUCAAUGGGAUGAGCCUCAUGUGGAGCUCAAGAAACACUGGAACUUUCUUGAUCAUCUCAUGCCGCUGUAUAGCACACAAUCAGGGUUUUAUAGAGAAGAUUUCCCCAGUACGAGCCUCAUGGAUAAAACCCAUAAGUUACUGGCCAGUAUUUCAUCAGACGAUUCUGUUUGGAAGAUAA
Molecule: ribosomal RNA, 687 nt
Filed under: Triticum aestivum (bread wheat)
Lineage: Eukaryota; Viridiplantae; Streptophyta; Magnoliopsida; Poales; Poaceae
Description: partial small subunit ribosomal RNA
Source: RNAcentral